This 458-nucleotide ribosomal RNA is filed under the name uncultured bacterium. RNAcentral describes it as "SSU rRNA". It matches the Rfam family "Bacterial small subunit ribosomal RNA", at positions 26 to 518 of the family's 1533-position model. The record is from RNAcentral.
AGAAUCAACGCUGGCGGCGUGCCUAACACAUGCAAGUCGAACGAGAAAGGGUAGCAAUACCUGAGUAAAGUGGCGCACGGGUGAGUAACACGUGACUAACCUACCUUUUAGUGGGGGAUAACCUAGGGAAACCUGGGCUAAUACCGCAUAAUACUUACGAGUCAAAGCAGCAAUGCGCUGAAAGAGGGGGUCGCGGUCGAUUAGUUAGUUGGCAGGGUAAUGGCCUACCAAGACUGUGAUCGAUAUCCGGCCUGAGAGGGCGCACGGACACACUGGAACUGAAACACGGUCCAGACUCCUACGGGAGGCAGCAGUGGGGAAUUUGCGCAAUGGGGGAAACCCUGACGCAGCAACGCCGCGUGGAGGAUGAAGUCCCUUGGGACGUAAACUCCUUUCGAUCGGGACGAUAAUGACGGUACCGGAAGAAGAAGCCCGGCUAACUUCGCGCCAGCAGCCGC